GUGCUCAUCAGCAGCACAUACACUAAAAUUGGAACAGUACAGAUAAGAUUAACAUGAGCCCUGCCUGAAGAUGAGGCACUAAUUCCUGAAGUGUUCCAUAUUAGG
Molecule: small nuclear RNA, 105 nt
Organism: Molossus molossus (Pallas's mastiff bat)
Lineage: Eukaryota; Metazoa; Chordata; Mammalia; Chiroptera; Molossidae
Source: RefSeq, a predicted model, not a curated record